RNAcentral lists this long non-coding RNA (3280 nucleotides) under Capsicum annuum. RNAcentral describes it as "long non-coding RNA (CANN_LNC017567)". The record is from RNAcentral. Lineage: Eukaryota; Viridiplantae; Streptophyta; Magnoliopsida; Solanales; Solanaceae.
CUCUCUCUUGGGUAAUACUUUCGUGAUAAGGGCAAUUAAUGUUCAAUAAGGCCUGCAAUAUCUAUUCAAGCCCCCACUCAAGUCAAUAGUGAAAAUGGAAUUUAAUGUACAAAUAAGGCCUGAGAUUUUAAAUAAAACCCACACACGGGAAACACAUAAUAAAUAUUCUAUCAAGUCAACAAUAAUAUACAAAAAGGCCCCCCCACGGGGAUACGAUAAAAAUAAUUCUCUCAAAAUAUAAAUUUCAUGGAUAAUCUCCAACUCAUAGCAUACUUUACAUCUUUGUUCACUAUUCAGCCCAAUCAAAAAAAAGUUAAGCCAUAACCUACAGCGAAAAGCUAAAUAGUCAAGCCAAAGCCUUCAACGUGGAGCCUUUCCUUAAUGAACAUUCUCAAUACAAAAUAAAACUAUCAAAAAUGUGAUUUAUGAGUCAAAUGAAAGAUAAUGAUAUGAAUAUUAGAUAUUUUCUAAUGGGUCCAAAUUUAGUUCGAAAAAUGGGCUCAAAAACAAAAAGGGUAAAACCAAAAUUUUACUAUAGAAACAUAUUCCCCAAGAUCAUACAAUUCUUCAAUUGAAAAUCCACAAAAAAUGAGUUGUUAUUGAUGUCCAAAUCAAAGAAAACCCAUUUUAAAGCUUUACCAGCAAAAAUCCUAAAAAUCAUAUUUGAAAUCGAGGUUUUGAAGUAAUUUUAAAGAUAAAAUCAAUAAAAAUUAGUGGAAAUAAGAGUUUGGAGCUUACCCAAGCUCAAAUGGUGAAGAAAAUCCUAAGAAUUGUCUUUUUCUGAAACACCAACGUCCAAAAUGAUGAAAAAAUUCAAAAAAUGAGUAUUUAUACUUCCAAUGAACAGCACCUCGCGAAUGCUUUGACGAGGGUUAAUAUUGACUAGGCCACUUACUUGGCCUUCAUGUUUGCAGUCAACUUUUCACAUUCAUGAAAAUUGACAACUAGGACACAUCAAGUUCACGAUAGCCUGGUCGUGCUCGUGAUGAAGAAAAAUGCCCAAUUCAAUCCCGACUAUACUUUGUGAUCACGAUGAAGGAUAAUAUCCUUCUUUGCAUUCGUGAAGAAGUAUUUUACCUGCACCAGGUACCAGCAAAAUGUUGAGUUUUGCAUAUUGAAAAUGUCUCUGAACAGACUCUCAAAAAUUUUUUGGGACCCACAAAAAUAAAGCAAAUAUAUAACUAGGCUAUUUUCAACAUUUUGGGCUUAAGGUAAUAUCAAAAUUUCAAAAAGAAGUCAUUUACAACAAAUUAGAUCCUAGGACCCUUAAAAGCUUAAUUUAACUAGUUUUCCAAAAAGAGAGUCGAAAUGAAAAAUAAAGUUUCUGAAUCCAAAACAAUCCCGCUACUAAUCCAAAAUCAACAUUUUAAAUCUAAUGGAACUAUCCAAUUGUCAUCUAGUGCUUGAAACAUAAAAUAUUAAUCAAAGUCAAACUAAAGGCUUUCAAAGUCUUUCAGAGUCUCAAACUCUCCAAAAUUAUUCACUAAUGCAUCAGAGAUUGUGUCAACCAUUUCCACACACAUAACCAUCAUGUAAUAACUACGGAAGGAGAAAAGUAAUAAAAAUAUAUAAAAAUAAAAUUUCACUCUUUAGGUUGUUAUAGUUGGGAAUUUUAAUAUAUAUCAUGAACUGUAUGUAACCAGAUAUAGCAUGUCCUAUUAGUAAAUUAAGUCAGUUCUCAAGUAAUCCCAAUCAAUCUCAUUGAAUGAUAAUGAAAAAAAGUGUUGGGGUAUCAUAUAGUAGUACUAUGUUUUACAUUAUAACAAAUAUUCAACACAAAUUGAAGGAUAAAGUGAUGCAAAUUGGAUCACCAAUCAAAUGAAGUAGAAUCCACAAGUGGAUAUGUAUUUACUUUUGGUAGAAGAGCAGUUUCAUGGAAAUAAUUCAAAUAGAAAUGUAUUUCUCACUCUAUGAUGGAAUCUGAAUUUAUCGUUUUAGAUAAGGUCGGUGAAGAAGUUGAAUGGCUUCAAAUUUUCUUGUAAGAUAUUUCUUUCUUACCGUAACCUUUGGCGCCGAUAUGCCUACAUUGUGAUAGUCAAUCUAUAAUAGGCAGGGCAGGAAGCAUGAUGUACAACGAAAAAUCUCAUCACACAAGAAGGAGACAUAAUACCGUUAGACAACUACUCUCUAGUGGAAUUAUGACGAUAAUUGACUAUGUGAAGUCAAAGAAUAAUAUGUCAAAUCCACUAAGAAAAGGCCUAACUAGAGAGGAAGUUGAGAGAUCUUCAUAAGAAAUGGAUUUAAGGCCGAUGAUAAGUCAGCACGGUGGUAACUCUACCUAGCAUACUAGAGAUCCCAAAGCUAAAUACAAGGAUAUCAAACAAAGUUAUAACUGACAGUUCUAAAUUAUCAAAUGAAAAGUUCAACCCAUUCUCAUGAUGAAGAUAAUGUUCAUUAAAGAUGGAUAAGACUUAAGGUUGAAGCUUUUUUAUGUUUGACAGGUAUGACCAAAUAGUUCAUCUAUAGGAUUAUACAUUUAGAAAUCACCUAUGUGUGUGUAAAGUGAAAGAUGCUUCAAGGAGAAUGAUAGUAAAGGCCUAUUCUCUAAGCUCUCAUGAAAUCAAGAGUGUUCAUAGAUGAAAUGAACAAAAUUGUGAGAACUACAAAUGGUAAAAAGCUAGUUGUGUGACUAGUAUUAUCUAGGUGUAUGACAAAGUUCAACGAUUCAAAAAAUAUUGCAUUUACUGAUUGAUCGUGUGCAUUUGAUAUAAGUUCACUACGAAAAUUUUAAAAGAAAACUGACUUAUCCAGAUGUAAUUAGUCUUUUCUUGUAAUCACACACGAACAUAUAUUUUUUUAUUAGAUAGUUAUUCCCCAUUCAGUGAGGGUUGUUGGGUUCAAGUAUUGAAAUGUGAAUUGAAAAUGAAGAAAAAGUAAAAAUAUGUAUUCACUUUAUGGAAAAAGUAUUCUUCCACAUUGGUUGGAAAAAAGGUAUUUUCUUAUGCUUAAAUAUAGAAGCAUUACUCCAUAUGGAUAGUAAGGCAAGAAAAAAGAAAAACCUCGCACUGUCUUCGUUGUCGCUCGGCUCGACUUCAGCUUCCAGUUUGGAUUUGGAUUUAGAUUUAGAUUCAGAUUUGGAUAAAAUUCAUUUGAAAUUUAAGUGGUAAUGAUUUCUUAAUCCAAUAAUCCAAUAUAAAAAAAAUUCUCCAUUUGUAAAUGCACAUGAGUAUGUGUGUAUGCAUGUCAUAAUGCAUAUAGAAGGCACGCGAUCCUUUAGUUUACCAUUUGAAUGACGAAAAAGGAAGUGUGGAUGAAGUUGGCCAAGUAGGGUGCAUUUGGU